RNAcentral lists this ribosomal RNA (497 nucleotides) under uncultured bacterium. Its description in RNAcentral is "partial 16S ribosomal RNA". It matches the Rfam family "Bacterial small subunit ribosomal RNA", at positions 28 to 507 of the family's 1533-position model. The record is from RNAcentral.
GAUGAACGCUGGCGGCGUGCCUAAUACAUGCAAGUCGAGCGAACAGACGAGGAGCUUGCUCCUCUGACGUUAGCGGCGGACGGGUGAGUAACACGUGGAUAACCUACCUAUAAGACUGGGAUAACUUCGGGAAACCGGAGCUAAUACCGGAUAAUAUAUUGAACCGCAUGGUUCAAUAGUGAAAGACGGUUUUGCUGUCACUUAUAGAUGGAUCCGCGCCGCAUUAGCUAGUUGGUAAGGUAACGGCUUACCAAGGCAACGAUGCGUAGCCGACCUGAGAGAUUGAACGGCCACACUGGAACAGAGGCACGUUCCAGACUCCUACGGGAGGCCGCAGUAGGGAAUGUUCCGCGAUGGGCGGAAACCUGGCGGAGCGACGCCGCGUGAGUGAUGAAGGUCUUCGGAUCGUAAAACUCUGUUAUUAGGGAAGAACAAUUUUAUAACUAACUAUACACAUCUUGACGGUACCUGAGCAGAAAGCCACGGCUAACUACGUG